RNAcentral lists this long non-coding RNA (1915 nucleotides) under Homo sapiens (human). RNAcentral's name for it is "HSALNT0131703". Lineage: Eukaryota; Metazoa; Chordata; Mammalia; Primates; Hominidae. The record is from RNAcentral.
CAGCCCUUUCCCAGGAUGCACCUGCUGACGCUCACCACAGACACUGUUUCCUCCCGAACGUGAUGACAGUGGCUGCCACCUAGGCAUCUGCAUCGCUGUCUUCAAGACUUUGGAGUUCUCAAAGGUACAGGGGGGAGGAGGGGUAUACCAGCCACUUCCAUAUUCAACUUCCAAAAGCUAGAGAUGUCAGUUAAAUAACCCCACACGUGCUGACAAGGUUCUGUCGAGGACCCCAGGCUUUCUGUCAUAGUAGGCCAAUCUCAUUUCAAAAGCGGCAGCAAAACCACACCUAUUCCUAACAACAGCAGAGCACAGAACUGAAUUAAGGAUGCUGAUUAUCAGCUAAAAGGUUCCAAGAGAAAGACCGAACUUGGGGCUUUCCUGACAACCCACUCAUUUACUAAGCAUCUUCUACAGCAUACACAGACAUAAGCCCCUUAAAAUCAGAGUACGUGAGAAUACUUUUCAUUUGGAAAUAAAUCCCAUGAUACACCCGUAUAGAAUACACUGACUAUACUUAAACACUUUAAGCUUCAUCACCAUGUGGGACACUAUGGAAUUAGCUAAAUCCGUUCUUGAAGGUUAGUUUCCCUAAGGAAAAAUGCUCUCUUCAGGGAAAAAAACUUGGGCGGAAUACAUUACUGAGAUGUUACCAAAUCAAAAAAAGUGAAGGGUACAUGUGAUAAUAUCAGAUAAGGUAGCAUAAAAAUAUCACUACGCCAUGUUACAUAAUCUCGAAAGGAUAUACACACAUAAGAUCAAUGAGGCUAAGUUAAAAUAUUGUCGUUAUGAUUAAGGUAACUUAUCUCUACAAAACACACAUCUCAACAAGGAAAAUAAAGAAAAAUGGAUAUGGUGAGAUUUUAAAACUUCUUCAUGCUACUUUUCUGACUCAAAGAAAGGGCAACGCUGCAGUGACUCCCACAGGAUGAGGCUCACCUGGGAUGUGACAACACACUGGGCUGUGGGGGUCUGCGUGGGAGGCUACUGCCUGGGAAAGUCCCAGGCAACAUGAAGUUGAUGUCUCCCAGCACAAAAAACACCCUGGAGCACCCCCAAAAUGUACUCAUCCCAGUCCCAAGUAGAAGAAUCCACACAAACCAGGAACUUCGCUCAUGCUGAAGCCACGUGCCCUGGAAUUGAUUUGUGUUGACUGCCACAAUUGAUUCAAGUGAAAUUGAUUCACAACUUGAAGCAGAGGAAAAAACUAAAAGCAGUGCCCCUUUCAAACAGCAGUGCCCACCACAACUGUUACUCCAAGUUCUGAACUGUGCUGUGGAGGACCUGGAAGUGGGUUUUCUCCCCCUUAAUCAUGAAAAUAGCUGACGUUUGUGGUGGCUUUCAGCACAGAAGUUCCUUUUGGAUUCUUACUAAAGAUGGGUAGAUCGAACAUAAGCAUUUACCUCUGCUACCCGCAAAACCCAGUAAGACACGAAAUGCUUUUUUAAAAAGGCAUAGACCUGUAAGAACAAAGUGGGAGAACAGAUACUAGCACGCAUAUUAUAAAAGGGGAAAUCAGACAGAGCAGUCUCUGUCUCUGCAUACUCAAGGAAAGCCAAACCCUAAGCUGGGGGAGCAAUCCCACAAGGAAAAACACAUCCAACUGUCCCCAGGCCCAGGGACAGAAGUGGGUAGCACCAGCUAGGCUGAGAAUGGUGGUAAAUAAGGGAAAAUCACUGAGUCUGUUCAACUACGCUGAGAAUGGUGGUGAAUAAGGAAAAUCACUGAGUCUGUUCAGCUACGCUGAGAAUGGCGGUAAAUAAGGAAAAUCACUGAGUUUGUUCAAAAAGCAGUUUGACUCAUUCAUCAUGAAAUGCAAAUUAAAACUACACUGAGAUACCAUUUCUCACCUAUCAGAUUGGCAAAAAUCCAAAAUCUCAAUGACAUACUCUGUUGGCCAAGCUGAGGGAAACAG